This 524-nucleotide ribosomal RNA is filed under the name uncultured bacterium. RNAcentral's name for it is "partial 16S ribosomal RNA". It matches the Rfam family "Bacterial small subunit ribosomal RNA", at positions 28 to 523 of the family's 1533-position model. The record is from RNAcentral.
GACGAACGCUGGCGGCGUGCUUAACACAUGCAAGUCGAACGGACAGACAGAGAGCUUGCUCUCUUGAAGUUAGUGGCGAACGGGUGAGUAACGCGUAAUCAACCUGCCCUUCAGAGGGGGAUAACAACGGGAAACCGUUGCUAAUACCGCGUACGAUUCAUGAACGGCAUCGUUUAUGAAUGAAAGGUGGCCUCUAUGUAUAAGCUAUCGCUGAAGGAGGGGAUUGCGUCUGGUUAGCUAGUUGGAGGGGUAACGGCCCACCAAGGCAAUGAUCAGGAGCCGGUAUGGGUGGAUGAACGGCCACAUUGGGACUGAGGCACGGCCCCAACUCCUACGGGAGGCAGCAGUGGGGAAUCUUCCGCAAUGGACGAAAGUCUGACGUAGCAACGCCGCGUGAGUGAUGAAGGUCUUCGGAUUGUAAAGCUCUGUUAAUCGGGGCGAAAGAGUUCUGCGUGAAUAAUGCAGAAAAGUGACGGUACCGGAAUAGAAAGCCACGGCUAACUACGUGCCAGCCGCCGCAGUAA